Molecule: ribosomal RNA, 542 nt
Filed under: Nocardia tenerifensis
Lineage: Bacteria; Bacillati; Actinomycetota; Actinomycetes; Mycobacteriales; Nocardiaceae
Description: bacterial SSU rRNA
Rfam family: Bacterial small subunit ribosomal RNA
Source: RNAcentral
UCCUACGGGGAGCAGCAGUGGGGAAUAUUGCACAAUGGGCGAAAGCCUGAUGCAGCGACGCCGCGUGAGGGAUGACGGCCUUCGGGUUGUAAACCUCUUUCGACAGGGACGAAGCGCAAGUGACGGUACCUGUAGAAGAAGCACCGGCCAACUACGUGCCAGCAGCCGCGGUAAUACGUAGGGUGCGAGCGUUGUCCGGAAUUACUGGGCGUAAAGAGCUUGUAGGCGGUUUGUCGCGUCUUCUGUGAAAACUUGGGGCUCAACCCCAAGCUUGCAGGCGAUACGGGCAGACUAGAGUACUUCAGGGGAGACUGGAAUUCCUGGUGUAGCGGUGAAAUGCGCAGAUAUCAGGAGGAACACCGGUGGCGAAGGCGGGUCUCUGGGAAGUAACUGACGCUGAGAAGCGAAAGCAUGGGUAGCGAACAGGAUUAGAUACCCUGGUAGUCCAUGCCGUAAACGGUGGGCGCUAGGUGUGGGUUUCCUUCCACGGGAUCCGUGCCGUAGCUAACGCAUUAAGCGCCCCGCCUGGGAGAGGCCACGGU